This is a non-coding RNA of Schizosaccharomyces pombe (fission yeast), 444 nucleotides long. NCBI's taxonomy places the organism in Eukaryota, Fungi, Ascomycota, Schizosaccharomycetes, Schizosaccharomycetales, Schizosaccharomycetaceae. The record is from the annotation of a GenBank genome assembly.
CACGAAUCAAAGGAAUCUGCCAGGCAUAAGUACGGGGAUUAAUGUAGAUAACGUUAACACAAAUACCAGCACCGGGUGGAAUAUUGAGAGAAAGUUUGUGGAUGGCUUCGCGCAUCAUUUUUGGAUCAAAGUAACCACCACCGGCUAGCUCGUAGGUAAAGCCAGCUUUCGCAAUGGCAGAACAGAAUUGCCAAGGAACGCUAGUAGGAGUCAUGCCUGCAACCCACAAGGGAGGGAGACCUAGCAUACGAGACAAUCUAGUAUCAACGUAUACACGACCCAACUUAUUCUUGACAAGCUUGGGACUAUACAACUUGACCCAGUUAGGAGCAAACUCGAUUGACUUAGCAUCACGAUCGAAAAUUUCAAAUUUAGCACCCAUAUCCAAGCUUUCAAAGGAAUCAGCAACAAUCACACGUACGCCCUGUCCAUCCUUGUUGGCAC